Long non-coding RNA from Octopus sinensis (East Asian common octopus), 143 nucleotides. RefSeq lists it as uncharacterized. The record is from RefSeq and is a predicted model, not a curated record. The transcript has 3 exons. NCBI's taxonomy places the organism in Eukaryota, Metazoa, Mollusca, Cephalopoda, Octopoda, Octopodidae.
CAUGCAUACAUUAGAGCACUGCCUAAAUACAAUUCUUGAGAAAUUAGGGUUCUCGAAACCAGAAAGGAGAAAGCUGAUUCGAAGACUACAGAUCCAAGCCAUUAUUGGAACUGUAAAAAUCUGUAAAACUUUCAAUAAGUUUA